RNAcentral lists this ribosomal RNA (216 nucleotides) under uncultured bacterium. RNAcentral describes it as "partial 16S ribosomal RNA". It matches the Rfam family "Bacterial small subunit ribosomal RNA", at positions 1097 to 1311 of the family's 1533-position model. The record is from RNAcentral.
CGCAACCCCUAUGUUUAGUUGCCAGCAUGUAAAGAUGGGGACUCUAAACAGACUGCCUAUGCAAAAAGAGAGGAAGGAGGGGGGGACGUCAAGUCAUCAUGGCCCCUAUGUCCGGGGGUACACACGUGCUACAAAGGGCCGUACACAGGGGGGCCACCUGGCGACAGGGUGCCAAUCUCAAAAAAACCCUUCCCAUUCCGGUUGGAGUUUGGCAAC